This 465-nucleotide ribosomal RNA is filed under the name uncultured bacterium. RNAcentral's name for it is "partial 16S ribosomal RNA". It matches the Rfam family "Bacterial small subunit ribosomal RNA", at positions 28 to 507 of the family's 1533-position model. The record is from RNAcentral.
GACGAACGCUGGCGGCGUGCUUAACACAUGCAAGUCGAACGGAAAGGCCCCUUUGGGGGUACUCGAGUGGCGAACGGGUGCGUAACACGUGAGUAACCUGCCCUUGACUUCGGGAUAACUUCAGGAAACUGGGGCCAAUACCGGAUAGGAAUCCUUGCUGCAUGGUGGGGGUUGGAAAGCUUCGGCGGUUUUGGAUGGACUCGCGGCCUAUCAGCUUGUUGGUGGGGUAGUGGCUUACCAAGGCUUUGACGGGUAGCCGGCCUGAGAGGGCGACCGGCCACAUUGGGACUGAGAUACGGCCCAGACUCCUACGGGAGGCAGCAGUGGGGAAUCUUGCACAAUGGGCGGCAGCCUGAUGCAGCAACGCCGCGUGCGGGAUGACGGCCUUCGGGUUGUAAACCGCUUUCAGCAGGGGCGAAGCUUGUGGUGACGGUACCUGCAGAAGAAGCACCGGCUAACUACGUG